AGUAGGUUUGAGGUGGAGCUCAGGGUAGUCCCGGGUAGUCCAUAUGCUUCCCUUGAGAAAUAGAGGUUUGCUGGUGGUAUUGCGGUGUUAGACCAUUCACAUCCAGCCUUUGGAUGGCAGAGGAGCUGCAUGGCAGUGCUAAACUGAUGCCCAAACGGGGAGUCAGAGAGUAGCGCAGGAGUCAGGGAAAACAAGACAGCAAUCUACAUUCUCACACUCUUCCUUGCUUCUUCUAUUCCUUUCCCACCACCUUCUCUUACAAAAGGAAUUUCUUUAAAAGAUCUCUUACAAGGAAACUUUACUUUACGUAAAACAGCUAUCGGCAAUUCUAUGCCCGUCGGGGCUGAGGGGGUCUGGGGAGCUCCAAGCGGACUGCGCUUCUAGUUUAUCCCUUGAGGAAGCUCCUAAGGUAGAUCCAUGGACACUUCAGGGUUCCUUCAGAAUUCACUUGAAAACACUCUUAAUCUCACUCUUCUUUUACAGAUGAAGAAAUUGAGACCCAGAGAGGUGAAGUGACUUGCCUAAGGCUGGCUAGAGACAUAACUGGAUGAUCACUCUGCUCUACUGGGUCUCAGGCCACUGAGAUUUUCCAAACUGCGUUCAUUAGAACACCAGUGUCCAAAGCGAGGUCAAUAGGUGUUCUGGGGGACAAAAGGGAACCCCAGGAGUUCCAAGGAUGUACUCCAGGGACCACCAAGUGGGAGAGUUCUGGGCCCCCAUAUCUGUGUCUGCCCCUCUAUUCUUCAUCAUCUCCAACUCUCAGCUGUAAACUGAGCAGCUCACUUUUAUCUAUUUUAUCUAUUGGAAUUUUACAUACAAUUUUAUUUGAAGAAAGUCAUGGUGCUUAAAAACAGAUGUGAAUAUUGUUGGUUGAGAGAAUGAUGCCCAAGCAAGGCCAAUUACAGCAUGAAUACUGCACAUAUCGCACUUAUAAUUGUAUUUUGAGAGAGUUAUAUAUGGCUGCAAUAAACAACCACAUGCAGGAAAUAUGAUUAGAAUGGUUCUAAAAGGCCCUGAUUCCUACUAGCCUGUUAUUAAUGAAGGAAAUUUCUCCAUUAUAGACCUAUUUAUCUGGGCUGACGCAUUUUAAUCAGUAUACAGGAAUGUUAUCAUAGCUAUGGUUGUGUUUGCCCUUUGUGCCUCUUGACUGACCUCCUUGUGGUAACAAAACCCCUAUUUCCAGUGGGGAGCCCAUUCCCAGUGCUUUAGGGUGGGUAUAGGACCCAAGGCUGACUAAUGAGUAUGUGUAAUUCACCUGGCCGUAGUAAAGGAUUCAGGGAUGAUAUAUGAUUCAGCUGG
Molecule: long non-coding RNA, 1299 nt
Filed under: Equus asinus (donkey)
Lineage: Eukaryota; Metazoa; Chordata; Mammalia; Perissodactyla; Equidae
Description: lncRNA (ENSEASG00005026033.1)
Source: RNAcentral